UGAGGCAGGAGAAUUGCUUGAACCCAGGAGGUGGAGGUUGCAGUGAGCCGAGAUCGAGCCACUGUACUCCAGCCUGGGUGACAGAGCGAGACUC
This 94-nucleotide microRNA precursor is filed under the name Gorilla gorilla gorilla (western lowland gorilla). Its description in RNAcentral is "miRNA (ENSGGOG00000044002.1)". Lineage: Eukaryota; Metazoa; Chordata; Mammalia; Primates; Hominidae. The record is from RNAcentral.